RNAcentral lists this ribosomal RNA (468 nucleotides) under uncultured bacterium. Its description in RNAcentral is "partial 16S ribosomal RNA". It matches the Rfam family "Bacterial small subunit ribosomal RNA", at positions 28 to 507 of the family's 1533-position model. The record is from RNAcentral.
GACGAACGCUGGCGGUGUGCUUAACACAUGCAAGUCGAACGGUAAGGCCCUUUCGGGGGUACACGAGUGGCGAACGGGUGAGUAACACGUGAGUAACCUGCCCUCAUCUCUGGGAUAACAGUCGGAAACGGUUGCUAAUACUGGAUAUGAGCUUGCAAGGCAUCUUGUGGGUUGGAAAGAUUUUUUUUGGUUGGGGAUGGACUCGCGGCCUAUCAGCUUGUUGGUGAGGUAGUGGCUCACCAAGGCUUCGACGGGUAGCCGUCCUGAGAGGGCGACCGGCCACAUUGGGACUGAGAUACGGCCCAAACUCCUACGGGAGGCAGCAGUGGGGAAUAUUGCACAAUGGACGGAAGUCUGAUGCAGCAACGCCGCGUGCGGGAUGACGGCCUUCGGGUUGUAAACCGCUUUCAAUUGUGACGAAGCUUUUUUGUGACGGUAGCAGUAGAAGAAGCACCGGCUAACUACGUG